AACGAACGCUGGCGGCGCGUUUUAAGCAUGCAAGUCGAACGGUAGCAGGACUUCGGUCCUGUGAGAGUGGCGAACGGGUGAGUAACACGUAGGUGGUCUGCCACGAGGUUGGGGAUAGCCCAUGGAAACAUGGGGUAAUACCGAAUACGCUUCACACACUAUGGUGAGUGAAGGAAAGGCGCUACGGCGCCACCUUGUGAUGAGCCUGCGGCUGAUUAGCUAGUUGGUAGGGUAAAGGCCUACCAAGGCGACGAUCAGUAGCCGGCCUGAGAGGGUGAUCGGCCACACUGGGACUGAGAUACGGCCCAG
RNAcentral lists this ribosomal RNA (309 nucleotides) under uncultured bacterium. Its description in RNAcentral is "bacterial SSU rRNA". It matches the Rfam family "Bacterial small subunit ribosomal RNA", at positions 29 to 334 of the family's 1533-position model. The record is from RNAcentral.